UACGUAGGUGGCAAGCGUUAUCCGGAAUUAUUGGGCGUAAAGCGCGCGUAGGCGGUUUUUUAAGUCUGAUGUGAAAGCCCACGGCUCAACCGUGGAGGGUCAUUGGAAACUGGAAAACUUGAGUGCAGAAGAGGAAAGUGGAAUUCCAUGUGUAGCGGUGAAAUGCGCAGAGAUAUGGAGGAACACCAGUGGCGAAGGCGACUUUCUGGUCUGUAACUGACGCUGAUGUGCGAAAGCGUGGGGAUCAAACAGGAUUAGAUACCCUGGUAGUCCACGCCGUAAACGAUGAGUGCUAAGUGUUAGGGGGUUUCCGCCCCUUAGUGCUGCAGCUAACGCAUUAAGCACUCCGCCUGGGGAGUACGACCGCAAGGUUGAAACUC
Molecule: ribosomal RNA, 380 nt
Filed under: uncultured Staphylococcus sp.
Lineage: Bacteria; Bacillati; Bacillota; Bacilli; Caryophanales; Staphylococcaceae
Description: bacterial SSU rRNA
Rfam family: Bacterial small subunit ribosomal RNA
Source: RNAcentral